RNAcentral lists this ribosomal RNA (484 nucleotides) under uncultured bacterium. Its description in RNAcentral is "bacterial SSU rRNA". It matches the Rfam family "Bacterial small subunit ribosomal RNA", at positions 64 to 543 of the family's 1533-position model. The record is from RNAcentral.
GAGGGGCAGCAGGUCCCGCAAGGGACGCUGGCGACCGGCAAACGGGUGCGGAACACGUACGCAACUUUCCUUCAAGUGAGGAAUAGCCCAGGGAAACUUGGAUUAAUACCUCGUAAUAUUAUGAAAUGGCAUCAUUUUAUAAUUAUAGCUCCGGCGCUUGAAUAUGGGCGUGCGCCUGAUUAGGUAGUUGGCGGGGUAACGGCCCACCAAGCCUACGAUCAGUAACUGGUGUGAGAGCACGACCAGUCACACGGGCACUGAGACACGGGCCCGACUCCUACGGGAGGCAGCGGUAAGGAAUAUUGGGCAAUGGACGCAAGUCUGACCCAGCCAUGCCGCGUGGAGGAUGAAGGUCCUCUGGAUUGUAAACUUCUUUUAUCUGGGAAGAAAUCCAUGAAUUCUUUCGUGGUUGACGGUACCAGAUGAAUAAGCACCGGCUAACUCCGUGCCAGCAGCCGCGGUAAUACGGAGGGUGCAAGCGUUA